GAGGAUAUAGCUCACUUGGUAGAGUGCUUGCCUUGCAUGCACAAGGCCCUGGGUUUGAUUCCCAGCACACACA
This 73-nucleotide transfer RNA is filed under the name Ictidomys tridecemlineatus (thirteen-lined ground squirrel). Its description in RNAcentral is "Spermophilus tridecemlineatus (thirteen-lined ground squirrel) tRNA". It matches the Rfam family "tRNA". From Rfam's summary of the family: Transfer RNA (tRNA) molecules are approximately 80 nucleotides in length. Lineage: Eukaryota; Metazoa; Chordata; Mammalia; Rodentia; Sciuridae. The record is from Rfam by way of RNAcentral.